UAAGGAAUAUUGGACAAUGGUCGAAAGACUGAUCCAGCCAUGCCGCGUGCAGGAUGAAGGCCCUAUGGGUUGUAAACUGCUUUUAUUUGGGAAAAAACCUCUGUACGUGUACGGAGCUGAUGGUACCAAAUGAAUAAGCAUCGGCUAACUUCGUGCCAGCAGCCGCGGUAAUACGAAGGAUGCAAGCGUUAUCCGGAUUUAUUGGGUUUAAAGGGUGCGUAGGCGGGUUGAUAAGUCAGUGGUGAAAGCCUGUAGCUCAACUACAGAACUGCCAUUGAUACUGUCGAUCUUGAGUAUCGUUGAAGUGGGCGGAAUGUGUGGUGUAGCGGUGAAAUGCUUAGAUAUCACACAGAACACCGAUUGCGAAGGCAGCUCACUAAGCGAUAACUGACGCUGAGGC
Molecule: ribosomal RNA, 400 nt
Filed under: uncultured bacterium
Lineage: Bacteria
Description: bacterial SSU rRNA
Rfam family: Bacterial small subunit ribosomal RNA
Source: RNAcentral